This is a long non-coding RNA of Phyllostomus discolor (pale spear-nosed bat), 833 nucleotides long. RefSeq lists it as uncharacterized. Lineage: Eukaryota; Metazoa; Chordata; Mammalia; Chiroptera; Phyllostomidae. The record is from RefSeq and is a predicted model, not a curated record. The transcript has 2 exons.
ACAGUGUGCUAGAAUAUAUUUUUAAAAAACCUAAAGUAUGUGAUUUUACAAGGACUCUCAACAAGGUCUCAAAUUAAUAGUGAAGUUAGCAAAUUAUGGCAAAUCUUUAUAAACUAAGUCUCAAAAAGAAAGUAGUAAAACAGUCAUUUAACUAGACAGAGACUUGAUGAUGAGAUGCCCACAGUCAUGAUGUAAUUAAUUUUUAAGAUUUUAACUUUCUUUGGCUGCUCAGUCUAAAUAUCACAUCAGUUGAUUUUAUAGUUCCCAUUAUUUACAUGCUUGUUUUCUCAGAUUUUGAGAUUCCUAAAAACUAAAUAUAUUUUUAGUGUUCUGGACACGAUAUUUGGAUAUAAGGCACAAGGGUCAAUGAUUUCUUUCCAGCUGUAGAUGUAUUAAACACUGUUGGCAUGACAUCAAGAAAAUUAGUCACAUUUAGCCACAUACUCAGUCAUGUAUGACAUAGAUGUGUUUCCCUCCCCUGAGAAACUGGUUGCUGUAUUCUUAUAAUUGUGUAGUUUGUGUGUAAGUCGUCAGCUCAUGCUCAUUUGUGCACUUGAAGAAUAGUGAUUCAGCACCACUCUGUGCUCAGAACUCUUCCAGGUGAUGGGAGUGAAGCAGUGAACAAACAAACAAAAAUCUGCCCCUCGUCCAACUUCCAUUCUAACGAGGUCUGUAACUGUGCUUUGACAGGGUACCUCAUUUGCCUGUCUACCUCAGGAUUCCUGACCUAACAUGAAUUGGAAUGAUGACCCAAGACUCUCUUAGACAAAUAGCAAAAUGCUUUGGUUGGGUCCCUUAGAUCCCAAGACACAUGAUCCCAAGUAAAGAGAAAA